This 976-nucleotide long non-coding RNA is filed under the name Gallus gallus (chicken). The record is from RNAcentral. Lineage: Eukaryota; Metazoa; Chordata; Aves; Galliformes; Phasianidae.
CUCAUUUUAAUUACUUCAGAUUAGCUCCUUGGAAUCCACCCCACCACACAGAUCAGCCUGCUUUGCAGCAAGUGUAUAUCAGUCUUUCAGUGAGGUCUUCUAUGCCACAGCAGCAGCAGCGCGUUCUGUGUGUUUGCUUUCACCUCGCUCAGCCACGCGGUGGGGGCUAUAGAGCCCAGGCAUGCGGCUGGAAGUUGGGAGGAGAACCCCUUGGCAGCUGUGCCUGACCAGCCACCAGAGUGCCCAUCCACUGCGUUCACAAGAAUAGGGAAACAGCAACAGGAUAAGAAGUCAUGUCUUUGGAAGGCUUCACAGAUUCUCUUCACCCCAAGAAGUUCCAAGUAUGCAGCUGCUUGCGCCACUGCUUGAAACCAGGCCAGGAAAUGUUCCAGCCGCCAAAGAGAGGCAGGGAGGGGGCUUCCAUCAGAAGAACUUGACGCCUCGGCCAUCAUCCAGUGUGAUGAUUUCAGCCUUGUGCUCUUGCUGCAAGGCUUGCAGGGCACGAAGUAGCAUAGCCUCAUCCAAACCAUGGAACUCUUCAUUUGCUGUAUCAUCUCCGCUGAUCAACUCAUACAGUGUGAACACAGAGUUGGUCAAGCCAUUCUUUGACACCCACUGAUAGAUGAGCUUUCCCCAUUCCUCGGGUCUUCUCCACAUUAUCAGAAAACUGGUUUUGUUCUUGUCUAACCACUCCAGGUUCCCGUUCUUGCGCAGCUCCUCCAGCACCACCUGGAUGGCCUCGGGCGGCAGCUUCCUCUGGAGACGGCGGUUGGCGAACAGCGGGCUGUCUUGGGCCUCGCGCAGCGUCAUGGCAGGCAGACGCUGGCGUCGGCUGUAGGCGAGCGCCAGGGCGCACCAGGCCGCCAGCUGCUUCUGCCGCGUCUCGCCGUUGGGCUGCAGCGUGAAGAAGGGCGGGAAGCUGUACUGCCAGGGCCACGAGAAGCUCAUCGCCGCCGACACCGGAACCACCUCCGCC